Long non-coding RNA from Homo sapiens (human), 358 nucleotides. The record is from Ensembl. Lineage: Eukaryota; Metazoa; Chordata; Mammalia; Primates; Hominidae.
CAGCUGUCCUGAGAGCACGUCUCUACAUCUAUACCUGCAUUCUGGAAUCAGGGAGAAAGCCAAAACGGAUGACAAGACACUAGGUCAGCCGCCUCCAACCCUUUGACUACAAGGACUUUUCCACCUAUCUGUGGUGAGACAGGGUCUCACUAUAUUGUCCAGGUUAGUCUCAAACUCCUUGACUCAAGGGAUCCAGGACAGGAUAACAGGUGUGAGCCACCACAUCUGGCCAUGUGCAUGAACUUUUAAGACAAACACAAGGCCCCACAAAAGGGUUCCAGGCAAGUCAGUUCUCCCUCAGGCCUUCGGUUUCCUCACCCACAAGAUGAGAGGGCUGGACCAGAUGGAAAUUCAGGGG